UGGGGAAUUUUGGACAAUGGGCGAAAGCCUGAUCCAGCAAUGCCGCGUGUGUGAAGAAGGCCUUCGGGUUGUAAAGCACUUUUGUCCGGAAAGAAAUCCUUGGCUCUAAUACAGUCGGGGGAUGACGGUACCGGAAGAAUAAGCACCGGCUAACUACGUGCCAGCAGCCGCGGUAAUACGUAGGGUGCAAGCGUUAAUCGGAAUUACUGGGCGUAAAGCGUGCGCAGGCGGUUUGCUAAGACCGAUGUGAAAUCCCCGGGCUCAACCUGGGAACUGCAUUGGUGACUGGCAGGCUAGAGUAUGGCAGAGGGGGGUAGAAUUCCACGUGUAGCAGUGAAAUGCGUAGAGAUGUGGAGGAAUACCGAUGGCGAAGGCAGCCCCCUGGGCCAAUACUGACGCUCAUGCACGAAAGCGUGGGGAGCAAACAGGAUUAGAUACCCUGGUAGUCCACGCCCUAAACGAUGUCAACUAGUUGUUGGGGAUUCAUUUCCUUAGUAACGUAGCUAACGCGUGAAGUUGACCGCCUGGGGAGUACGGUCGCAAGAUUAAAACUUAAAUGAAUUGACGGGGUCAUAGC
This 577-nucleotide ribosomal RNA is filed under the name uncultured bacterium. RNAcentral's name for it is "partial 16S ribosomal RNA". It matches the Rfam family "Bacterial small subunit ribosomal RNA", at positions 355 to 925 of the family's 1533-position model. The record is from RNAcentral.